Molecule: ribosomal RNA, 830 nt
Filed under: uncultured Ascomycota
Lineage: Eukaryota; Fungi; Ascomycota
Description: SSU rRNA
Rfam family: Eukaryotic small subunit ribosomal RNA
Source: RNAcentral
GUGCCAGCCGCCGCGGUAAUUCCAGCUCCAAUAGCGUAUAUUAAAGUUGUUGUGGUUAAAAAGCUCGUAGUUGAACCUUGGGCCUGGCUGGCCGGUCCGCCUCACCGCGUGCACUGGUCCGGCCGGGCCUUUCCCUCUGUGGAACCCCAUACCCUUCACUGGGCGUGGCGGGGAAACAGGACAUUUACUUUGAAAAAAUUAGAGUGCUCCAGGCAGGCCUAUGCUCGAAUACAUUAGCAUGGAAUAAUAAAAUAGGACGCGCGGUUCUAUUUUGUUGGUUUAUAGGACCGCCGUAAUGAUUAAUAGGGACAGUCGGGGGCAUCAGUAUUCAACUGUCAGAGGUGAAAUUUUUGGAUCAGUUGAAGACUAACUACUGCGAAAGCAUUUGCCAAGGAUGUUUUCAUUAAUCAGGAACGAAAGUUAGGGGAUCGAAGACGAUCAGAUACCGUCGUAGUCUUAACCAUAAACUAUGCCGACUAGGGAUCGGACGGUGUUAUUCAUGACCCGUUCGGCACCUUACGAGAAAUCAAAGUGCUUGGGCUCCAGGGGGAGUAUGGUCGCAAGGCUGAAACUUAAAGAAAUUGACGGAAGGGCACCACCAGGGGUGGAGCCUGCGGCUUAAUUUGACUCAACACGGGGAAACUCACCAGGUCCAGACACAAUAAGGAUUGACAGAUUGAGAGCUCUUUCUUGAUUUUGUGGGUGGUGGUGCAUGGCCGUUCUUAGUUGGUGGGGUGACUUGUCUGCUUAAUUGCGAUAACGAACGAGACCUUAACCUGCUAAAUAGCCCGCAUUGCUCCGGCAGUGCGCUGGCUUCUUAGAGGGACUUU